Triticum aestivum (bread wheat) is the source of this 136-nucleotide non-coding RNA. Lineage: Eukaryota; Viridiplantae; Streptophyta; Magnoliopsida; Poales; Poaceae. The record is from Rfam.
UGUGUACUCCCUCCGUUCCAAAAUACUUGACUUCGAUUUGUCCAAAAAUGGAUGUACCUAUAUUCUAAGACAUGUCUAGAUACAUAUAUAUUUUGACAAAUAGAAGGCAUGUAUUGUGCAAUGGAGGGAGUAGAAU